CAGUAGCCGCGGUAAUACGUAGGGUCCGAGCGUUGUCCGGAAUUACUGGGCGUAAAGAGCUCGUAGGUGGUUUGUCGCGUUGUUCGUGAAAACUCACAGCUUAACUGUGGGCGUGCGGGCGAUACGGGCAGACUAGAGUACUGCAGGGGAGACUGGAAUUCCUGGUGUAGCGGUGGAAUGCGCAGAUAUCAGGAGGAACACCGGUGGCGAAGGCGGGUCUCUGGGCAGUAACUGACGCUGAGGAGCGAAAGCGUGGGGAGCGAACAGGAUUAGAUACCCGCGUAGUCCCUGUCUCUUAUAA
This 301-nucleotide ribosomal RNA is filed under the name uncultured bacterium. RNAcentral describes it as "partial 16S ribosomal RNA". It matches the Rfam family "Bacterial small subunit ribosomal RNA", at positions 509 to 809 of the family's 1533-position model. The record is from RNAcentral.